Molecule: long non-coding RNA, 251 nt
Filed under: Oryza brachyantha (malo sina)
Lineage: Eukaryota; Viridiplantae; Streptophyta; Magnoliopsida; Poales; Poaceae
Description: long non-coding RNA (OBRA_LNC002471)
Source: RNAcentral
CCGUCGGGCUAGCUGCGGCCGCGCGCCUCCCCACCGCUCCUCGGUCCUGUCUCUGCUUUAUAUUUUUUUUCUCUCGUAGUAGUAGUCCUGUUUGCUGGCUCGAUCUCCUCUUUAGUAUUCAAGCAACCCGGCGAUUUGCGGGAGCAAGCAAGUGAAAACAGAGGAGGCAGGCAAGCGAAGGAGCUUAAUUAAUCAAGCGAGAGCGUGUUCAAAGCGUCUCCAGGUGCGCGGAGGAAAUGAUCGGCGGGGGG